AAAAAAGAAUGUGUUUCAGCGGUCAAUGUUGGAUUUCUUUUAGUCGGAUUCGACCAUGCAGAUGUGGUACAACAGUCCACAUAAAGUGCAACAGACUUUAACCUCACAGGUUAAUGCAGCAAUGCUUUUCUU
Molecule: long non-coding RNA, 132 nt
Organism: Sander lucioperca (pikeperch)
Lineage: Eukaryota; Metazoa; Chordata; Actinopteri; Perciformes; Percidae
Exons: 2
Source: RefSeq, a predicted model, not a curated record